CGUAGAGGGUGAUAAUCCCGUACCUUAAAACUCCAUUGUGGUACUAGGCUAACAACAAGUAGGGCGGGACACGUGAUAUCCUGUUUGAAGAUGGGGGGACCAUCCUCCAAGGCUAAAUACUCCUGAUUGACCGAUAGUGAACCAGUACUGUGAAGGAAAGGCGAAAAGAACCCCGGCGAGGGGAGUGAAAUAGAACCUGAAACCUUGUGCGUACAAGCAGUGGGAGCAAGAGUAAUCUUGUGACUGCGUACCUUUUGUAUAAUGGGUCAGCGACUUAUAUUUUGUAGCAAGGUUAACUGAAUAAGGGAGCCGUAGGGAAACCGAGUCUUAACUGGGCGUGUAGUUGCAAGGUAUAGACCCGAAACCCGGUGAUCUAGCCAUGGGCAGGUUGAAGGUUGGGUAACACUAACUGGAGGACCGAACCGACUAAUGUUGAAAAAUUAGCGGAUGACUUGUGGCUGGGGGUGAAAGGCCAAUCAAACCGGGAGAUAGCUGGUUCUCCCCGAAAUCUAUUUAGGUAGAGCCUUGAGCGGACACCUUCGGGGGUAGAGCACUGUUUCGGCUAGGGGUCCAUCCCGGAUUACCAACCCGAUGCAAACUGCGAAUACCGAAGAGUGAUACUCAGGAGACACACGGUGGGUGCUAACGUCCAUCGUGGAGAGGGAAACAACCCAGACCGCCAGCUAAGGUCCCAAAGUCUAUAUUAAGUGGGAAACGAAGUGGGAAGGCUUAGACAGCUAGGAUGUUGGCUUAGAAGCAGCCACCAUUUAAAGAAAGCGUAAUAGCUCACUAGUCGAGUCGGCCUGCGCGGAAGAUGUAACGGGGCUCAAAUAUAGCACCGAAGCUGCGGCAUCAGACGAAAGUCUGUUGGGUAGGGGAGCGUUGUGUAAGUCGAUGAAGGUGGAUUGAGAAGUCUGCUGGAGAUAUCACAAGUGCGAAUGCUGACAUAAGUAACGAUAAAACGAGUGAAAAACUCGUUCGCCGGAAGACCAAGGGUUCCUGUCCAACGUUAAUCGGGGCAGGGUGAGUCGGCCCCUAAGGCGAGGCUGAAAAGCGUAGUCGAUGGGAAACGGGUUAAUAUUCCCGUACUUGUAAUAACUGCGAUGUGGGGACGGAGAAGGUUAGGUUAGCAGACUGUUGGAUGUCUGUUUAAGCCGGUAGGUGGGAAGAUUAGGCAAAUCCGGUCUUCCUUAACACCGAGAAGUGAUGACGAGUCUCUACGGAGAUGAAGUAACCGAUACCACGCUUCCAGGAAAAGCCACUAAGCUUCAGGUUAUUAUAAACCGUACUAUAAACCGACACAGGUGGUCAGGUAGAGAAUACUCAGGCGCUUGAGAGAACUCGGGUGAAGGAACUAGGCAAAAUAGCACCGUAACUUCGGGAGAAGGUGCGCCGGCGUAGAUUGUAGUCCCUUGCGGAUGAAGGUUGAACCGGUCGAAGAUACCAGCUGGCUGCAACUGUUUAUUAAAAACACAGCACUCUGCAAACACGAAAGUGGACGUAUAGGGUGUGAUGCCUGCCCGGUGCUGGAAGGUUAAUUGAUGGUGUUAUCGCAAGAGAAGCUCCUGAUCGAAGCCCCAGUAAACGGCGGCCGUAACUAUAACGGUCCUAAGGUAGCGAAAUUCCUUGUCGGGUAAGUUCCGACCUGCACGAAUGGCAUAAUGAUGGCCAGGCUGUCUCCACCCGAGACUCAGUGAAAUUGAAAUCGCCGUGAAGAUGCGGUGUACCCGCGGCUAGACGGAAAGACCCCGUGAACCUUUACUAUAGCUUGACACUGAACAUUGAAUUUUGAUGUGUAGGAUAGGUGGGAGCCUUUGAAGCAGUCACGCCAGUGAUUGUGGAGGCGUCCUUGAAAUACCACCCUUUAACGUUUGAUGUUCUAACGAAGAUUGCGGAACGCGGUCUCGGACAGUGUCUGGUGGGUAGUUUGACUGGGGCGGUCUCCUCCCAAAGAGUAACGGAGGAGCACGAAGGUUUGCUAAUCACGGUCGGACAUCGUGAGGUUAGUGCAAUGGUAUAAGCAAGCUUAACUGCGAGACAGACAAGUCGAGCAGGUGCGAAAGCAGGUCAUAGUGAUCCGGUGGUUCUGAAUGGAAGGGCCAUCGCUCAACGGAUAAAAGGUACUCCGGGGAUAACAGGCUGAUACCGCCCAAGAGUUCAUAUCGACGGCGGUGUUUGGCACCUCGAUGUCGGCUCAUCA
This 2200-nucleotide ribosomal RNA is filed under the name Mannheimia haemolytica. RNAcentral's name for it is "partial 23S ribosomal RNA". It matches the Rfam family "Bacterial large subunit ribosomal RNA", at positions 356 to 2542 of the family's 2925-position model. The record is from RNAcentral. Lineage: Bacteria; Pseudomonadati; Pseudomonadota; Gammaproteobacteria; Pasteurellales; Pasteurellaceae.